This 2392-nucleotide long non-coding RNA is filed under the name Carica papaya (papaya). RNAcentral describes it as "long non-coding RNA (CPAP_LNC009002)". Lineage: Eukaryota; Viridiplantae; Streptophyta; Magnoliopsida; Brassicales; Caricaceae. The record is from RNAcentral.
CAAUCCUAGCAUUUUGGUGCCUCACACGAUUAGUAGAGGCAAUUUUGGCCUCUGUUGGUGAUUUCUGUCCCUUUUUCCAUUCCAUUUCAAUUCAGUUUUCAUUCCAAUACAUUCUUACAAAUUAAUUCAACAUCAUUCAUCAUUCCAAACAUCAUAAAACAACAACUUAAAUAUAGAAAAAUUCUCAUGAAUGCAGACACACCACGUUUAUGUUAAAACCAUUAUCACAGCUUCAAUUUAUUAAAAUUUUAUCGAUCUAAAGCAUGUCUAAAAUCCAAUACUUGAAAUAACUGGAUUACCAUUCAUCUUACCUCAAAAAAGAUGAUUAUUUGGCCUUAAAUGCAUGAGUAGAAGAAUUCAGAAAUAGAAAAACUAAUUUGCAACUCGCUUGGGUAGCAGUUGCAGAAGCAGUUGUGAACUUUUGGAUUAGUUUUUUGUUUUAAGAGUCAUUCUACGCCUAAAAUUGUUUCCUAAUAUUCCUAAGAUCUUAAUCUUUUCAUAGGCUACUUGAAAUUGAAGAAAAAUUAAAGAUAGAAAAGGAAUUGGAAAGGAAAUAGGAGGAUUACACGUUCGAAUUGCGUCUUCGGGUGCAGUAGAGGAAAUGCUUUAGACCGAAGUUUAUUGCAAUUUUUUUGGGUUCUUGUAGCUGCUAACAGGCAUGUUUAGAUACCAAGGAAAGAAUGAAGGAUGCAAUAUAGGGGAAUUAAAGCUUACCUUAACCAAAAAAAGGUGAAAUCUCCUCCUACAGACUCGCACCUCUCCUCCUUGCGUGCUCUAGUUUCUAUCUUAUUUUCUCACUCAAACUUCAUCUUCUGAUUUCUCCCUAAAUUGUUUAUUUUUCACUCCUAAUCGUCUAACUCUCUCUUUCUCUAAUCGAAUGGGGAAGAAAGAAGUCAAAUGGAAGCUUUUAAAUUGGAUUUUUAGCAACUAUUGGUCCUUAAAUUGCAUUCAAGCAAUCUUAGCCAUUAUUGUCCAAGAGUGGCUGAUAGCAUGUAAGGGAGAAAGUUCGAGUUUGACAAUUGGCUGGGCAGCUGGCCUCCUCUGCUAGGUGGCCAGAACACCUCCAUAAAUGAGUUUACGUGGCGUCAAGUUGGAGCCAAAUCUGGAGGGUAUCAGCUAGCAGUUUUGCUAUACGUGGGAAAACUUUCUGCAAGCUAGUAAGUUAUUCCACCCAUAUGCUCGCGGGCAAGGCACGCACACGAUGCCCUCACGUGUGUCCACGACCACCCACUUGCAAACUAACACACAUUCCUCUGUGUGUUUGCGAUCUGUCAAGCUUACAGGCAUGGCAGAUGGAAUUUCUCGCAUGCCCACUACCUGGCAUGCCCGCAGGUUGGCAAUCUCAUUGGUGGGGGAUUUAAAAUCCUAUGGUUGUCCUGAUUUAAAAAAAAAUAAAAAUAGAUGUAUUUUUUAAAUUAAAUAAUUAAAAACGAAUAAUUUUCAUUAACAUUACAAUAACACAUGUGAAAAUUAACUCUUUUAUUGAUUGUUUGAAUUUUUAUAACAUUGGUUGUUACAUACAACAAGUAUACAUGAUUAAAAAUCUAUUAAAUUCAAUUCUGUCCAAUUUCUAAGCCUUUCCCAAUGGUUUAAACCAUUUGGACAGGCAACCACAAUUGAUUUUAAAACCAGAUUACCAACCAUUCUUUAACUUGUUCAAACUCAGUGAAAAAGUGAUUAUUUUUCAGUUUAAAAACUCCUUUCUCAAUAGACAUCAAGGAUCACUACUCGAUAUUCUUUCAAACUCCUAUGCAAAAAGAAUUGGUUUAAAGCUUCAAAUAUGGCUCUAAAAUCACUUCGAGACCUAUCAAAAUAUUCAGACUUCUCAAGUCAAUAUGAGCCCAAGAAUUUGGGGAAAUUUUUCAAUUAAACUGGCUAUUGCUUGGCUAGUUCGAUAUUCCUAGGUGUUUUACUACAUGUAAACUAUUUUUAGAACUCAAAAUCUAGCUUAAAUGGAAUUAAAAAGCUAAAAAAAAUCAUGAAUGAAGUGUCGAGUUCGACCACUUACCAGAAAGGAAAUGGGUUGUCUAAGACCUGGCUUAAUUUCUCAAUAUCCAACAAAUUUUCUGGUUUCUAGGUGGUCAAAAAUUGUUUCCCAUCCACAGUGGUCACUCUCUCACUAUUUUUGUUUCCUCUUUCUCUUGAAUUUUGGCUCACACAGAUGAGCUUAUCUCCUGUUUCGGGUUUUUUCUGCCCAUUGAAGCGAAGAAGAAGAAGAAGGUCAACAUUUUCAAGGGCAAGGGAAACCAUAAAGAUCCGGGCCAUCGAUCUGCAUGCAGUGUUUCUCAGUCGUUUGAUUAGAUUUAUUGUCGAGGGCAUUUUCAUAAAAUUUCUUGCAUUUUAAAUUUCGACUAUUAGAUCAAACCUGUAUGCAAUCUGGGUCGUUGGUUUC